AUUGAACGCUGGCGGAAUGCUUUACACAUGCAAGUCGAACGGUAGAGGGGGCAACCCCUCGAGAGUGGCGAACGGGUGAGUAAUAUAUCGGAACGUGCCCAGUCGUGGGGGAUAACGUAGCGAAAGUUACGCUAAUACCGCAUACGAUCUAAGGAUGAAAGCGGGGGACCGCAAGACCUCGCGCGAUUGGAGCGGCCGAUAUCAGAUUAGGUAGUUGGUGGGGUAAAGGCUCACCAAGCCAACGAUCUGUAGCUGGUCUGAGAGGACGACCAGCCACACUGGAACUGAGACACGGUCCAGACUCCUACGGGAGGCAGCAGUGGGGAAUUUUGGACAAUGGACGCAAGUCUGAUCCAGCCAUUCCGCGCGCAGGAUGAAGGCCCUCGGGUUGUAAACUGCUUUUGUACGGAACGAAAAGGUCUCUCUUAAUACGGGGGACUCAUGACGGUACCGUAAGAAUAAGCACCGGCUAACUACGUGCCAGCCGCCGCCGUAA
This 496-nucleotide ribosomal RNA is filed under the name uncultured bacterium. Its description in RNAcentral is "partial 16S ribosomal RNA". It matches the Rfam family "Bacterial small subunit ribosomal RNA", at positions 30 to 523 of the family's 1533-position model. The record is from RNAcentral.